GGGGCUGGUUGAGUUGAUGAAGGAUGAACUUUUGACUUUUAACAGAUUUUUCACACUUUCACAGAGCAGUUCCUCAAAGUGAAUGGUGGUUGUCAACAGUCCCAGUCCUUGCUUAACUUCAUCGACUGACUAAAUCGCAGAACUUUCAACUGACCUCACAAUAAUUUUAACAUUUUGUGUUUAUACAGAAAGGAGUUUAGCUCUAAUGUAGACAUGCCCACAUGAUGAAGAGACAUUUGUUUUUACCUUGGAAAUGGAAAGUGAAUAAUGAUUUCUCCUCAUUCCAGGGCUCCUGAUGAAGCAAGUAUCCAUGAUAAAAUUCUAUACUCGAGCUCCAAGCAGUACUUAAAAAAUGCAAUGAACGGUAUCAAACAUGACCUGGAGUUCCAGUCGCUUGCAGAUAUUGCAGACAGAAAAUGUUUUACAGAGAAGUUUGGAAAGCAGAUAGUCACACUUGAGG
This is a long non-coding RNA of Cynoglossus semilaevis (tongue sole), 460 nucleotides long. RefSeq lists it as uncharacterized. The transcript has 2 exons. The record is from RefSeq and is a predicted model, not a curated record. Lineage: Eukaryota; Metazoa; Chordata; Actinopteri; Pleuronectiformes; Cynoglossidae.